AAUUUUGGACAAUGGGGGAAACCCUGAUCCAGCCAUCCCGCGUGUAUGAUGAAGGCCUUCGGGUUGUAAAGUACUUUUGGCAGAGAAGAAAAGGUACUUCCGCAUACGAGGUACUGCUGACGGUAUCUGCAGAAUAAGCACCGGCUAGCUACGUGCCCGCAGCCGCGGUAAUACGUAGGGUGCAAGCGUUAAUCGGAAUUACAGGGCGUAAAGCGUGUGUAGUCGGUUCGGAAAGAAAGAUGUGAAAUCCCAGGGCUCAACCUUGGAACUGCAUUUUUAACUGUCGAGCUAGAGUAUGUCAGAGGUGGGUAGAAUUCCACGUGUAGCAGUGAAAUGCGUAGAUAUGUGGAGGAAUACCGAUGGCGAAGGCAGCCCCCUGGGAUAAUACUGACGCUCAGACACGAAAGCGUGGGGAGCAAACA
This 422-nucleotide ribosomal RNA is filed under the name uncultured bacterium. RNAcentral's name for it is "partial 16S ribosomal RNA". It matches the Rfam family "Bacterial small subunit ribosomal RNA", at positions 360 to 774 of the family's 1533-position model. The record is from RNAcentral.